Molecule: ribosomal RNA, 279 nt
Filed under: uncultured bacterium
Lineage: Bacteria
Description: partial 16S ribosomal RNA
Rfam family: Bacterial small subunit ribosomal RNA
Source: RNAcentral
UGCCAGCAGCCGCGGUAAUACGGAGGGGGCUAGCGUUGUUCGGAAUUACUGGGCGUAAAGCGCACGUAGGCGGAUUAGUAAGUUGGGGGUGAGAGCCCGAGGCUCAACCUCGGAAUUGCCCUCAAAACUGCCAGUCUUGAGUUCGGGAGAGGGAAGUGGAAUUCCUGGUGUAGCGGUGAAAUGCGUAGAUAUCAGGAGGAACACCAGUGGCGAAGGCGGCUUUCUGGACCAAUACUGACGCUGAGAUGCGAAAGCGUGGGGAGCGAACAGGAUUAGAUA